Molecule: non-coding RNA, 203 nt
Organism: Pelobates cultripes (western spadefoot toad)
Lineage: Eukaryota; Metazoa; Chordata; Amphibia; Anura; Pelobatidae
Source: the annotation of a GenBank genome assembly
UUGCUGUACAAUCUUUUCCUUUACUGUAGGGCUUAGGCAGGCUUUGUUUCUGUACAGGGCACCUAAUUUUGGAUAAAGUUUAGAUGCAAGCUUUUCUAUGUGCAGGCCAAAAGAUAGAUUGGGGUCUAAUAUCAUACCUAAGUAUUUGAAAGAGUGGACUGCGGUCAGUGUGCCAUUUGAAUUUGUUUUGAUGGAUAGGUGGG